UGUGUAGGCGGAUUUGUAAGUACCUUGUGAAAUCCCACGGCUCAACCGUGGAACUGCUCGGUAUACUGCUUAUCUUGGGCCAUCUAGGGGCUACCGGAACAAGUGGUGGAGCGGUGAAAUGCGUAGAUAUCACUUGGAACGCCAAUGGUGAAAACAGGUAGCUGGGGAUGUGCCGACGCUGAGACACGAAAGCCAGGGAGCAACG
RNAcentral lists this ribosomal RNA (205 nucleotides) under uncultured bacterium. RNAcentral's name for it is "partial 16S ribosomal RNA". It matches the Rfam family "Bacterial small subunit ribosomal RNA", at positions 568 to 773 of the family's 1533-position model. The record is from RNAcentral.